Molecule: long non-coding RNA, 573 nt
Filed under: Bos taurus (domestic cattle)
Lineage: Eukaryota; Metazoa; Chordata; Mammalia; Artiodactyla; Bovidae
Description: long non-coding RNA NONBTAT018163
Source: RNAcentral
GUUUCUUCAUGGAAAGCGUUUCCUCCAUGUAGCAGGUGAGCUGUAUACAGAAUAACAUGGAGAUGAAAGAAAAGCAGAUAGACUAACAAGGGAGUAGUUUUAGUAUUUCUAUUAUAUAACUCAAACCUCUAUGUAAUCCAGUUUAGCUGCCCCACUAAUUAAUGUGAAUUAAUAAGUCUCAUAAUUAUGUUUAUUCACCAGGUUCUUUCUACAUAAUUAUUGUUAUACACUUUAAUAAAUUGCUUAGGAAGGCCACCUCCAAAUCCAAAUUAAGUGUAAUGUUUCGUUUCCUAUUUUCUUCCCAGGGGCACAUGAUUAUGUUGGAAAAAGCUUUGACCUGAUAAUUAAGUUCCGUAUCUUGCUCUCCCUCCUCGAGAAGACUUAGAUCUCUGCUCUCUCUUUAAAACAUUACAUACUUAUAGGCUUUGCCUAUCCAACGGAAGGACUCUUCUAGGCUAUCACUCUUCAAGGAAGGACUUGAUGUCAAGACAUGAAGAGUAUGGUCUGAAAACAGUCUUAAGCUGACAGCUUUUCCAUGAUCUGCUUCUGUUGCAGAGCCUCACUGGUUGAGAA